AGAGGUGUUAUCUGUUUCCUGCAGCUACUGAUCUUUGAAAAAUCUUACCUUCCCCUUUUUCUCCUCUGGCUCUUCUAACACCUUUACAACCAACUGCCUAUUUAAAAACCUAGAGUAGCUUCUGUUUCCUGAUCAGAUGCAGACUGCUAAGAUUGCAUCUUUCGCCUACUUUAACAAGGGACAAAAGCCAUGGGAUAAUACAGCAAGAAGGCCUACACCAGAAGCCAACAUCACACUUUUGGACUUCUCAGCCCCAGAACUGACUUUACCAAAGGGUACAAGAAUGAGCUAACACACUCCAAGACUGUGACAUUUUUCUACGUGAGUCAAGGCUGAACUUCCAUGUUAUUGUCUCCUGUAUACAGAGCAGGAAGCUAAGACUCAAAGAGAUUAAAUAGCAAUUCCGAUCAGUAAAAAGCAGAGCACAGACAUGAAUGAGUUUAUCCUAUUUCAAAAUUAUUAUUCUUUUUUAAAUUUCAUCUUUAUAACUUUUUUAUUUCUAACUACAGAAGUAAGUACAUAAGCAUGACGGAAAAAUUGGAAUAUACAGAAAUGUAUUUUAUAUUUCUUUUCAGUCUCUCUUUCAGAACACACAAAAACACAUGUAGUAUUUCAUCAGGAUCGGUCAUAACAUGUUCUUUCCACUUCUCUACAAAGGUACAGAAUUCUCACCCUCAAGCAGGAAGAACAGCCCCAAGAAUUCCAGGUUGCCAACAGUUUAUUAAUCAAGUGAAAGCAAACUCAAAAUUUUCUCAAGUGAGCUUAUAUUUCACUGUGUUAAUUUUCAGAUAGCCCAUUAUAAUUUAAUAAUACACACACAAGAUUAAUUGAAAUUUAAAAAUAUUUCUGUUUUGUACCUGAUUUCAGAAAUGGUACUAGGGUAUAAUGAAUGUAAAGUCUAACUAAAGAACGAACAAUCCCAGCCACCAAAAAGACAAUCAAUAGAAAUAAAAUAAAGUCCAAUAUCCAAUAUUCAUCCAUUCAUUUAUCAUUCAACAAGUAAUUUUGAGUACCUGUCAUGGGCCAGACUUUGUUUUGGGGCCCAAGGAUAAAACUGUAAACAAAUAGACAAAUUCCCUGCCUUCAGAGAGCUUACACUCCACUAAGGAGAAACUGACAAUAAAUAAAUUGAGAAAAUAUCAGGUUGUAAUAAGUACUGUGGAGAAAAAUAAAUCAGGAUAAAAGGAUGGAAAGUGCUGAGGAAGGAAGUUGCUUUUUUAUGCUAUGUAUUACCUCAGAAUGCCGUAACAAAAUAUCACAGACUGGUUAGCAUAAACAACAGACAUGUAUUUUCUCCCCAUUCUGGAGGCUAGAAGGCCAAGAUCAGGGUUCCAGCCGAUUCCAUUUCUGAUGAGGGCUCUCUUCUGACUGGCUGAUGGCCAAGUUCUUUCUAUAGCUUCACAAGGCCUUUUUUCAGUAUUUGCUGGAGGAGGGAGAGAGAGUGAGCUCUCUGGAUUCUUUUCUUAUAAGAACACUAAGCCAUCGAUAAAGGCCCCACCCUUCUGAUCUCAUUUAACCUUAAUUAGUUCCCUAUUCCAAAUACAGUCACACUGGGUGUUAGGGUUUCAAUAUUUGAAUUUUGGAGGGGUACAUGCCUUCAGUCCAUAACAUACAGGUUAUUCAGAGAAGACGUCCCUGAUAAGAUGUGGUAGCUAACUUUCAGGAUGACCCUCAGUGGGCCUCAUCUUCUGGUGUUCACACCCUUGGAUAGUCUCUUCCCAAAUAAAUUAGGAAUUGGGACUGGUCUCAAUGUGAUAGAGUCAAGGGCUGGUCUCAGUGCAACAGAGUAGAGCAGAGAUUAAGAUAUUUCACCUCUGAGGCUGGGUCAUAAAAGGCACCAAAGCUUCCACUCUGUUUUUUUGGAUCACUCUCUCUGGGACAAGCCAGCCUCCAUGGCAUAAGGACACUCAAACACCCUUGGGAGAAGACCAUGCGGGAAGGAAGUCAGACUUCCCACCAAGAGUACUAAUUUGUCAAACAUGUGAAUGAGCAAGCUUGCAAGUGGAACCUCCAGCCCCAGUAAAACCUUCGGAUAUCUGACUGCAGCUCCAGUUGAAGUUUGAACUCCAACCUCACUGGAAGCCCUUAACCAGAACCACUCUGCUGAACUGAUUCCAAAUUCUUGGCCCCAGAAAAGAUGGUCAAGGACAACAUUGUGUAGUUAUAGAUAAAUGCAUUCAAACUACCAAUUGUGUUUCAAGGUGAUCAAGGAGGCUGGGAGAUUGUCGGAGCUGUCACCAAGAUGUUCUUGUCUCCUGAUAGAGGCUGAUGGCACUCAGAGUACCCACCUCACCAACUGGAGUCAAUGAACUGUAACCGAGGGCUCCAGAAACCGUGCCUGUAAUUGCAAAAUCUUAAUUCCAAACACAGUCUGACAAGUGUAAAUGUACAUAGGAGGACAACUGCACGGGCUAUGUGAAAGCAGGACUUCCCAGGAAUUCCAGAAUGGUGAUCACCAACAUCAAUAAUAAAAGUCAUUUGUAGUCAGAGCAAGUAGGUCAAGGUGUCAAAGGAUGAGCAUGACAUGUCAACACUGUUGCUAAAAUUGAAAAGUCUUCAACGUCUUCUCUGCUUGUUUGCUUCUUUUCUGGCACCUUCUGACUUCCUUUCUCCCUCACCCUUCAACCCCCAGCAGCCCAAUUCCUUGUCUGUGAAAGCCCCACAAGGAGGCAUCCAAUUUAGACAUAACCCUCUGGGGAACAGCUUAAAGCUCCAAAAUUACGUCUUUCUUUCUCUCUUUCCAUUUCACCCAGCGAAAUUUCCAUUUCCUCAUAGAAUCAUGAGCAUUGGAGCCAUGCAGUGCUAAGUUGCAAACCAAGCCAUGCCAUUUACAAGCUAAUGAAAUUGGGCAUGUUAGAUAACAUUUCAAAGCAUCAGUUUCCUCAUCUGAAAAAUGGGAAUAAUAAUAGCCCUAACUCACACAAUUGUUGAGAGAAUUCAGUGAGAUAAAGCAUGUAAUGUAGUUUGCUCAAUAUAUGGCCCAUAGGGAGAGCCUAAUUAACCUCAGUAAUUAUUGUUAUUGCUGCUACUACUAACAGCAACAAAGAUAAGAAAAAGCAAUAGCUUUAACCGUCCUAUGUAAAUGUGUCUAUUUUUGAAAAGAAACUUAAUUGACAACUUAGGGGAAGUACUCAUUCACAAUUUGUAUUUUGCAUCCACUGUUUUUUGCCUGUGGGGCUUUCUGUAGAACAGAUUGUGUAUCUCUUACUGUAGUAAAUUUCAACAUUCCUUUUCAUAGAAAUCCAUCGGCUCUGAAAUAAGAAACUUUUAUACACAGCCUGUAACCAGCACAAGCCAUGCAAAACAAUGCAUUAGCCCAGAGAUUCAUUG
RNAcentral lists this long non-coding RNA (3330 nucleotides) under Homo sapiens (human). RNAcentral's name for it is "HSALNT0052628". Lineage: Eukaryota; Metazoa; Chordata; Mammalia; Primates; Hominidae. The record is from RNAcentral.